GCGGGUGUAGUUCAAUGGUAGAAUCCCAGCCUUCCAAGCUGGUCGUGCGGGUUCGAUUCCCGUCACCCGCUCCA
Molecule: transfer RNA, 74 nt
Filed under: Bacillota bacterium
Lineage: Bacteria; Bacillati; Bacillota
Also listed under: 2 other names
Description: tRNA-Gly
Rfam family: tRNA
About the family: Transfer RNA (tRNA) molecules are approximately 80 nucleotides in length. Their secondary structure includes four short double-helical elements and three loops (D, anti-codon, and T loops). Further hydrogen bonds mediate the characteristic L-shaped molecular structure. tRNAs have two regions of fundamental functional importance: the anti-codon, which is responsible for specific mRNA codon recognition, and the 3' end, to which the tRNAs corresponding amino acid is attached (by aminoacyl-tRNA synthetases). tRNAs cope with the degeneracy of the genetic code in two manners: having more than one tRNA (with a specific anti-codon) for a particular amino acid; and 'wobble' base-pairing, i.e. permitting non-standard base-pairing at the 3rd anti-codon position.
Source: RNAcentral